This is a long non-coding RNA of Mesoplodon densirostris (Blainville's beaked whale), 555 nucleotides long. RefSeq lists it as uncharacterized. The record is from RefSeq and is a predicted model, not a curated record. Lineage: Eukaryota; Metazoa; Chordata; Mammalia; Artiodactyla; Ziphiidae. The transcript is spliced from 3 exons.
GGAGAGACCUAGCUGUCAGUCGUCAGCUGUCCGCGCUUGACAGAAAACGGGGAGACACGAAUCAGAACCUGUGCUGCUUAGGGUAAAUAACUCCCAUCUCUGGAUGAGCAUGAAGAAUGGCGAGGCACAGUGAAGUUUGUCAGGGAUCAAGACAAAGAAGACAAAGGUGAAAGAGUUCACUAAAUUAACUGUCCAGAACUUCACGUAUUCGACUUUGACUUCAAGGAUUCUGCAUCUGACCUUUUGAAUGAUGGGGGGCCUGACCUGUUGACCACCCACUGGAAUCCAAGGAAAACUCCCUUCUUAGUUCUAGAGAAUUAGGCUGAAAUUUUGUUUAAUCAGAACAACCCAGAUUUGUUGGCUAUUCCUGGAGUAUGAUAAGGUCAUUGGCAACUUGAAAUUUACGUCUUCUAGAAAUGGUUCCAAGGGCUCCACCAGGACAGAAGAAAUGAUUCCAAGGGUUCCACCAAUCCAACUUCUCCAACAUUGAAUACUUGCUUCUCUCAUCUACUUUCUCAGCAACCCAAACUACUCAUGCAUCUUCUCCACCUCCCC